UACGAAGGGGGCUAGCGUUGCUCGGAAUCACUGGGCGUAAAGGGUGCGUAGGCGGGUUUUUAAAUCAGGGGUGAAAUCCUGGAGCUCAACUCCAGAACUGCCUUUGAUACUGAAGAUCUUGAGUCCGGGAGAGGUGAGUGGAACUGCGAGUGUAGAGGUGAAAUUCGUAGAUAUUCGCAAGAACACCAGUGGCGAAGGCGGCUCACUGGCCCGGUACUGACGCUGAGGCACGAAAGCGUGGGGAGCAAACAGG
This 253-nucleotide ribosomal RNA is filed under the name uncultured bacterium. RNAcentral describes it as "partial 16S ribosomal RNA". It matches the Rfam family "Bacterial small subunit ribosomal RNA", at positions 524 to 776 of the family's 1533-position model. The record is from RNAcentral.